Pelobates cultripes (western spadefoot toad) is the source of this 167-nucleotide non-coding RNA. The record is from the annotation of a GenBank genome assembly. Lineage: Eukaryota; Metazoa; Chordata; Amphibia; Anura; Pelobatidae.
GCAGACACAUUCCAGCCAAUCAGCAGCAGACCCUCCCUCCCAGAUCCUCCCACCUCCUGGACAGCAUCCAUUUUACAUUCAUUGUGAAGCUGCAUUCUUAGUGAGCUGUCCAGGAGGUGGGAGGGUCUGGGAGGGAGGGUCUGCUGCUGAUUGGCUAGAAUGUGUCU